This 258-nucleotide ribosomal RNA is filed under the name uncultured bacterium. RNAcentral describes it as "partial 16S ribosomal RNA". It matches the Rfam family "Bacterial small subunit ribosomal RNA", at positions 524 to 779 of the family's 1533-position model. The record is from RNAcentral.
UACGAAGGGGGGCUAGCGUUGCUCGGAAUCACUGGGCGUAAAGGGUGCGUAGGCGGGUCUUUAAGUCAGGGGUGAAAUCCUGGAGCUCAACUCCAGAACUGCCUUUGAUACUGAGGAUCUUGAGUUCGGGAGAGGUGAGUGGAACUGCGAGUGUAGAGGUGAAAUUCGUAGAUAUUCGCAAGAACACCAGUGGCGAAGGCGGCUCACUGGCCCGAUACUGACGCUGAGGCACGAAAGCGUGGGGAAGCAAACAGGGAG